This 714-nucleotide long non-coding RNA is filed under the name Homo sapiens (human). Its description in RNAcentral is "HSALNT0122553". The record is from RNAcentral. Lineage: Eukaryota; Metazoa; Chordata; Mammalia; Primates; Hominidae.
UAGACCUAAAAGAAUGAAGAGGCACAUGUGCUGAAAUUAGAGUAGAAAUAAAGGAAAGGCAAUAUGACCAAGGAAACACGUCUGUAAGUUGAGUUCCCUGCACAGCCCUCACUUUGAAGACGUAAGUGUUGGAUGCUGCGAAUGAUGGAUUAAAACCUCAUCUCAGGCCAGCAGCUCCAGAGAAUAUUGGACUAUUCAUCAUAAUAGUUACCUGAGUGGUGACCAGACAUCCUGUAGAGCUCAUCUUGAUAAGUAGUGCUCCCCAAAAUAAUUUGGAUCAUAACCCUCUAUUUCUUCAGUCUGGAAUGAAGCCAACAACUACCACCUGUCUGACAUCAUGCACCUUAGCUGCUCAGAUUUCCUGUUUUACCCUUUCUUCCACCUCCAUAUUGGGUCAUUAUAUGCUUUGUAGCACAUUUGAGUUGUCAUAAACUUUAUUUGACAUUUGACUGCACCAGGUCAUACUUUCUGCUCUUUCCCACAUGCCCAGGUAGUUAUUGUUGUUGCAUUAAAAAAAAAAAGAGAGAAAGAAGUUCCAAAUUAUUACAGUUCACAUAGUUAUCACAAGGUUAUUAUUUAAAAUAUUUAUCACAAGGUUAUUAUUUAAAAUAUUAAUCUGUAGAGUUCUGAUGUCUGCUAGCUACAGAAUUGAAUUAAAGAAUACACUUAGGAAAGAUUAUAGGGACCACCUUAUCCACCCAAACUCACCUUAGG